ACUCAAAUGAAUAGACGGGGGCCCGCACAAGCAGUGGAGCAUGUGGUUUAAUUCGAUGCAACGCGAAGAACCUUACCUAGGCUUGAAACGCAUAUUAAAUUCAGUGAAAGCUGUUGUCCCGCAAGGGGAAUAUGUACAGGUGCUGCAUGGCUGUCGUCAGCUCGUGCCGUGAGGUGUUGGGUUAAGUCCCGCAACGAGCGCAACCCUCGUCCUUAGUUGCCAUCAAGUAAUGUUGGGCACUCUAAGGAGACUGCCUACGCAAGUAGUGAGGAAGGUGGGGAUGAUGUCAAGUCCGCAUGGCCCUUACGCCUAGGGCCACACACGUGCUACAAUGGCCAUCACAAAGGGUCGCAAUACCGCAAGGUGGAGCCAAUCCCUAAAAAAUGGUCUCAGUUCGGAUUGGAGUCUGCAACUCGACUCCAUGAAGCUGGAAUUGCUAGUAAUCGCUGAUCAGAACGCAGCGGUGAAUACGUUCCCGGGCCUUGUACACACCGCCCGU
Molecule: ribosomal RNA, 499 nt
Filed under: uncultured bacterium
Lineage: Bacteria
Description: partial 16S ribosomal RNA
Rfam family: Bacterial small subunit ribosomal RNA
Source: RNAcentral